UCAGGCCUAACACAUGCAAGUCGUACGAGAGUUUUUAACUCUAGUGGCGGACGGGUGAGUAACACGUGAGAAUUUGCCUUUAGGAGGGGGACAACAAUUGGAAACGAAUGCUAAUACCCCAUACGCUUUCGAGUGAAAUGGAUUUUAUCCGCCUAGAGAGAAGCUCGCGGCUGAUUAGCUUGUUGGUAAGAUAAGAGCUUACCAAGGCGACGAUCAGUAUCUGGUUUGAGAGGAGGAUCAGACACACUGGAACUGAGACACGGUCCAGACUCCUACGGGAGGCAGCAGUGGGGAAUUUUC
Molecule: ribosomal RNA, 300 nt
Filed under: uncultured bacterium
Lineage: Bacteria
Description: bacterial SSU rRNA
Rfam family: Bacterial small subunit ribosomal RNA
Source: RNAcentral